RNAcentral lists this non-coding RNA (29 nucleotides) under Rattus norvegicus (Norway rat). Lineage: Eukaryota; Metazoa; Chordata; Mammalia; Rodentia; Muridae. The record is from RNAcentral.
AGAGAAUACAAUACGUAUGUGCUGAGCCU